GAUGAACGCUGGCGGCGUGCUUAACACAUGCAAGUCGAACGGAGACAUCGUUUUCGGAUGAUGUCUUAGUGGCGGACGGGUGAGUAACGCGUGAGGAACCUGCCUCUCAGUGGGGAAUAACGGUUGGAAACGACCGCUAAUACCGCAUAAACGCAUUUGGAUCGCAUGGUCCGAAUGCCAAAGAUUUAUUGCCAAGAGAUGAGCUUGCGUCUGAUUAGCUAGUUGGUGAGGUAACGGCCCACCAAGGCGACGAUCGGUAGCCGGACUGAGAGGUUGAACGGCCACAUUGGAACUGAGAUACGGUCCAG
Molecule: ribosomal RNA, 308 nt
Filed under: uncultured bacterium
Lineage: Bacteria
Description: bacterial SSU rRNA
Rfam family: Bacterial small subunit ribosomal RNA
Source: RNAcentral